ACCGGAUGAUGUCUUCGGACCAAAGAUUUAUCGCCCAAGGAUGAGCCCGCGUAGGAUUAGGUAGUUGGUGGGGUAAUGGCCUACCAAGCCGACGAUCCUUAGCUGGUCUGAGAGGAUGAUCAGCCACACUGGGACUGAGACACGGCCCAGACUCCUACGGGAGGCAGCAGUGGGGAAUAUUGGACAAUGGGCGAAAGCCUGAUCCAGCAAUGCCGCGUGAGUGAUGAAGGCCUUAGGGUUGUAAAGCUCUUUUACCAGGGAUGAUAAUGACAGUACCUGGAGAAUAAGCUCCGGCUAACUCCGUGCCAGCAGCCGCGGUAAUACGGAGGGAGCUAGCGUUGUUCGGAAUUACUGGGCGUAAAGCGCGCGUAGGCGGUUACUCAAGUCAGAGGUGAAAGCCCGGGG
This 405-nucleotide ribosomal RNA is filed under the name marine bacterium SIMO-4448. RNAcentral describes it as "bacterial SSU rRNA". It matches the Rfam family "Bacterial small subunit ribosomal RNA", at positions 168 to 607 of the family's 1533-position model. The record is from RNAcentral.